Grus americana (Whooping crane) is the source of this 1451-nucleotide long non-coding RNA. RefSeq lists it as uncharacterized. The record is from RefSeq and is a predicted model, not a curated record. The transcript is spliced from 3 exons. Lineage: Eukaryota; Metazoa; Chordata; Aves; Gruiformes; Gruidae.
GGGGAGGGAGCGAGUUUGGGGGUCAUGGUGGAGGGGUUUUAUGGCUAUCGCCGGGGCGAGGGCUGUCUGGGAGCAGUUCCCCUUGGCUGGGCAAAGGGAGCGGGUUACAUGUCACCCCGAUGGUAGACCGGGCAGGGCAGUUGCAGCCUGUGUUAUGUCUGCGUGUCUCGUCCUGUGUGUCUUAGCCCUUCCUCGGGUCUCAACGCCCUCUUUGCGCUCGAGGGGCACAGCACGCUUCUCGGGCGCCGUCCCUAGGCUCUCGAACGCUGGUACUUGUCAGCGUACCGCCAAUCGGGCGCUUCUUUUCUUGCAUAGCGAGCUUAUGGCGUGGAUCAUUCUUGCGUGUCGGAAGUUUCUGGCGGGUCUUCUAUUUGCAGCGCUAUACCAGGCUGCGUCCGGAGCUCUGCUCUCCAGCUAUCCAUUUUCAGGGACUGGGUCUUCCUGCAUCCUUACCUCCUUAGGUCUUGAAGACGGGCUUCUUGCUGCCCCCAUCAUCUCGGUUUUGACAGUAACUUCUUAUAACGGGCCAUUUACGGUCAAUUCUCUUCUGGGGUUGCCAUAGAGCUUCCUCACCAGGGCGUUGUGCCCUAUAGGUCGCCUUGUUCGGCAGCCUCUCCGGUCCGGGAGUCAUUCCUCUCACUAAGAGUGUUCUCUCGUUUGUGAGUCGCGUUGUUUGUAGCGUUCUGUGUAGCGUCCGUCUCUGUGUGUGGUGUGUGUGUGUGGAGCUGCUCUGCCCAGGGCUGUCGAGUCAGGGAUAGGCGGAAUAGCAAUAGGAGCGUACGGUUAACGUGCCGAUAUGGCCCGUCCGGAAUUGUUUGGCUCUCACUCGGCAUCUGGGUGACUUGUUUGAUAACUCGGUGUGAUUUUUCCAGAUGCGGACUGGCUAGAUGCCCACCAAAGAGCGGCAGAGGAGGAGAGCAGAGCGCCGUAAGAAGGUGGCGGUCAGGCCUCGGCACGGCAGGCCGAAGAAUCCGACUCCGAGCGGCCGAGGAAAAGGGACGGGCGAGAGGAAGGCGUUUCCAAGGAGGGCUUCGUCGCAGCGGAGGUCGACGCCGGGCGGCACGUCGGCGACCGGCGACGCUCUGUCUAGUGAGGGAUGAAGCGGGACCCGGCGGAUGGGGGAGCGUCCCGGUUAGAUGACCUUUUCGCCAUGAGAAGGGAAUCUGGAUUCUGCCCUCUGAAAGGCAGGGAAUCAGAGUAGCUAUCCAGGUGUCCGCAAGCUGCAUGUGUUUGGCCGGGGGGGUUGAAGCGGAGGAUCCAGAUUCCAUUGUAGUGGAGAGCUCUGGAACGAGAAGAAUUUUAAGCGAAGCAGGAGAGAUAGGCUGUCAAUGUGCCCGAGCUAAUAACUGUCAUCGCUCUGAGUCCUUGCUGUGGUGAUAGUGCAUCACUGGAAACCUAUGUAUUAAUGCCUAAUGUUGUUGUUCUUUAAAGAAAGUAACAAUAAAGGUGAA